RNAcentral lists this ribosomal RNA (439 nucleotides) under uncultured bacterium. Its description in RNAcentral is "bacterial SSU rRNA". It matches the Rfam family "Bacterial small subunit ribosomal RNA", at positions 8 to 449 of the family's 1533-position model. The record is from RNAcentral.
AGAGUUUGAUCAUGGCUCAGGACAAACGCUGGCGGUGUGUAUUAGGCAUGCAAGUCGAGCGAGAAGCCGGCCUUCGGGCUGGUGGAGAGCGGCGGACGGGUGAGUAACACGUGGGUAACCUGCCCUGGAGUGGGGGAUAACCCGGCGAAAGCCGGGCUAAUACCGCAUACGACCCCCGAUGAGAGAUCGGGUGGUGAAAACUCCGGUGCUCCGGGAGGGGCCCGCGGCCGAUUAGCUAGUUGGUGAGGUAACGGCCCACCAAGGCGACGAUCGGUAGCUGGUCUGAGAGGAUGAUCAGCCACACGGGGACUGAGAACGGCCCCGACUCCUACGGGAGGCAGCAGCUAAGAANNNUGCGCAAUGGGCGAAAGCCUGACGCAGCAACACCGCGUGCGGGAGGAAGGCCUUCGGGUUGUAAACCGCUUUUGCGAGGGAAGAA